This 670-nucleotide ribosomal RNA is filed under the name Bacillus cereus. RNAcentral's name for it is "bacterial SSU rRNA". It matches the Rfam family "Bacterial small subunit ribosomal RNA", at positions 45 to 697 of the family's 1533-position model. The record is from RNAcentral. Lineage: Bacteria; Bacillati; Bacillota; Bacilli; Caryophanales; Bacillaceae.
UGCUAUACAUGCAAGUCGAGCGAAUGGAUUAAGAGCUUGCUCUUAUGAAGUUAGCGGCGGACGGGUGAGUAACACGUGGGUAACCUGCCCAUAAGACUGGGAUAACUCCGGGAAACCGGGGCUAAUACCGGAUAACAUUUUGAACCGCAUGGUUCGAAAUUGAAAGGCGGCUUCGGCUGUCACUUAUGGAUGGACCCGCGUCGCAUUAGCUAGUUGGUGAGGUAACGGCUCACCAAGGCAACGAUGCGUAGCCGACCUGAGAGGGUGAUCGGCCACACUGGGACUGAGACACGGCCCAGACUCCUACGGGAGGCAGCAGUAGGGAAUCUUCCGCAAUGGACGAAAGUCUGACGGAGCAACGCCGCGUGAGUGAUGAAGGCUUUCGGGUCGUAAAACUCUGUUGUUAGGGAAGAACAAGUGCUAGUUGAAUAAGCUGGCACCUUGACGGUACCUAACCAGAAAGCCACGGCUAACUACGUGCCAGCAGCCGCGGUAAUACGUAGGUGGCAAGCGUUAUCCGGAAUUAUUGGGCGUAAAGCGCGCGCAGGUGGUUUCUUAAGUCUGAUGUGAAAGCCCACGGCUCAACCGUGGAGGGUCAUUGGAAACUGGGAGACUUGAGUGCAGAAGAGGAAAGUGGAAUUCCAUGUGUAGCGGUGAAAUGCGUAGAGAU